GCUUACAUGAGUAAUUCUCUGUAAAGUGCCACAGAGACGAGCUUUAUAGAAAUAUAGAGAGUGAAACGAGGCAAACCC
RNAcentral lists this non-coding RNA (78 nucleotides) under Mycoplasma ovis. Lineage: Bacteria; Bacillati; Mycoplasmatota; Mollicutes; Mycoplasmatales; Mycoplasmataceae. The record is from RNAcentral.